UUUCAAAUUUAAAUUUAUCUUAAAUUUAAAAUUUAAAAUUAAAAAAUUAAAAAUAUAUAUUUAAAAAUUUAAAUUCAAAUAUAAUAAGAGGAUAAUAUGAUUAUUUUUUAUUUAUAAANUUAAAAUUUUAAAUUUAAAAAUAUAUAUUUAAAAAUUUAAAAAUUUAAAUUCAAAUAUAAUAAAAGGAUAAUAUGAUUAUUUUUAUUUAUAAAAUUCACUAUCUUUCUUAUUCCAUCUUGCCUAAUCAAAUGCUAUUUUUUUAUUCCCAGAAAUAACCCAAUUUUUAUCCAAACGUAAAAUUAAUCUAAUCCCCGCUUAUAUCUUAAUUUAUACCUAUUCCUGGAAUAACCACUUUUUGCUUAUCCUCGAACCAAACGAUUCCUAGAGUGCGUUUAGUUGGGCUAUCCUCCCUUAU
Molecule: long non-coding RNA, 415 nt
Filed under: Ananas comosus (pineapple)
Lineage: Eukaryota; Viridiplantae; Streptophyta; Magnoliopsida; Poales; Bromeliaceae
Description: long non-coding RNA (ACOM_LNC027453)
Source: RNAcentral